UUUCAUGUGAAAACUUUUAAAACAAAUGAGUAGUUUAUAUAUUUGUUAUUCAAAUUAUGUCAAUCCAAUAUUUAGCCAUGAGCCUAUCAUGAUGUGAUUGGAAUACUAGAUUAGGAGAGAAUACAUGGAACAAGAAAUUAUUUGCUUAGAAUCAAGUUAGACAACUUUCAAACCAAAUAAGUAGCAUAAUUGCAUACCAUUAUAUCAUAUUGUUGAUGUAAGUAUUUCAUGAUAGUUAAAAAAAUUUAGAAACUUGGGUAUAUAGAUAAAAAGAUUUAUACAUGAAAAAAAUAUAAUUGAUAUUUGAAUCAAAAGUGAAUCUAACUAUACAAAUAUAAUUACAUAAAAUGAAUAUAACUUUAUUAACUACAUAAUAACAUACACGAAAAUAACAUAAAUUAGAAAUAAAAAUAGUUAAACAUAAUUAUUUUUAAACAAAUUUCAAACAACAACCCACGCGUAGCGUGGGUACUCACCUAAUAUAAAUAAAAGCACAAAAACCACAUAUGAGUGUUCUUUUUUGUUUAAAGAUACAUAUUCUUUUAGAGAGAGCCAAUCGGAAACCAAUAAAUUUAUAUGAAAAACAAAAGAUACAUGGGUUCUUAUUUUAGUAGCUAAACAAAUUAUCCGG
RNAcentral lists this small RNA (631 nucleotides) under Arabidopsis thaliana (thale cress). RNAcentral describes it as "ATSL150640". The record is from RNAcentral. Lineage: Eukaryota; Viridiplantae; Streptophyta; Magnoliopsida; Brassicales; Brassicaceae.